Molecule: long non-coding RNA, 519 nt
Filed under: Pan troglodytes (chimpanzee)
Lineage: Eukaryota; Metazoa; Chordata; Mammalia; Primates; Hominidae
Description: long non-coding RNA NONPTRT016411
Source: RNAcentral
CAGCAGUCUAUGAACCAGGAAGUGAAUUUCAUCUUACACCAAAUCUACUGGUGCCUUGAUCCUGAAUUUCCCGGACUCUAGAACUGUGAGAAAUAAUUUUUUGUUGUUUAUAAGCCUCACACAGUCUACAGUAUUCUGUUAUAGGUGAUGGAGUAAUUCCAGAUAUCCAAAAGACUGGGACAUGUAGGACAAGGAUGGGUAAAGUAACCUUCCAGCAGGUGAAGAUUCAAGAAAAAACUGCACAUUCUCCUUGGUUAAGAGUGCUGUUCUUCAGGCACAGUGACCAACAACAUGGGCUUCGAGGCUGAAUCAUCAAAAGGAUACUUUGCCUGACUGUGGGGGCUACUCCCCUAAGAUCUCUUGCCCUCUACUCCUCCCUCCACUCCUGGCUUCUACAUCUGAGGUUAUACUGCGCUUUCUCCUUCAGGGAGGAGUCAGCUGAUCUUCAUUGAUGUUAUUUCACUGAUCUCAAUCCUCAACCUCCCAAAGUGUUUGAGAUUGUAUUCCACCUUUGACAGA